RNAcentral lists this ribosomal RNA (253 nucleotides) under uncultured bacterium. Its description in RNAcentral is "partial 16S ribosomal RNA". It matches the Rfam family "Bacterial small subunit ribosomal RNA", at positions 524 to 776 of the family's 1533-position model. The record is from RNAcentral.
UACGUAGGGGGCUAGCGUUGUCCGGAAUCAUUGGGCGUAAAGAGCGUGUAGGCGGCCCGGUAAGUCCGCUGUGAAAGUCGGGGGCUCAACCCUCGAAUGCCGGUGGAUACUGUCGGGCUAGAGUGCGGAAGAGGCGAGUGGAAUUCCUGGUGUAGCGGUGAAAUGCGCAGAUAUCAGGAGGAACACCAAUUGCGAAGGCAGCUCGCUGGGACGUAACUGACGCUGAGACGCGAAAGCGUGGGGAACAAACAGG